RNAcentral lists this ribosomal RNA (253 nucleotides) under uncultured bacterium. RNAcentral's name for it is "partial 16S ribosomal RNA". It matches the Rfam family "Bacterial small subunit ribosomal RNA", at positions 524 to 776 of the family's 1533-position model. The record is from RNAcentral.
UACAGAGGUCUCAAGCGUUGUUCGGAUUCAUUGGGCGUAAAGGGUGCGUAGGCGGCGCGGUAAGUCGGGUGUGAAAUCUCGGGGCUUAACUCCGAAACUGCAUUCGAUACUACCGUGCUUGAGGACUGGAGAGGAGACUGGAAUUUACGGUGUAGAGGUGAAAUUCGUAGAUAUUCGCAAGAACACCAGUGGCGAAGGCGGCUCACUGGCCCGAUACUGACGCUGAGGCACGAAAGCGUGGGGAGCAAACAGG